RNAcentral lists this ribosomal RNA (379 nucleotides) under uncultured eukaryote. Its description in RNAcentral is "partial 18S ribosomal RNA". It matches the Rfam family "Eukaryotic small subunit ribosomal RNA", at positions 592 to 976 of the family's 1831-position model. The record is from RNAcentral.
CAAUAGCGUAUAUUAAAGUUGUUGCGGUAAAAAAACUCGUAGUUGGAUUUCUGUUGAGAGCGACCGGUCCAUACCAUGUAUGCGUAUCUGGCUUGCUCUCGGCAUCCUCUCGAUAGACGUUACUGCGCUUGAUUGCGUGGUGCGGAUCUCGGGACUUUUACUUUGAGGAAAUUAGAGUGUUCACGGCAGGCUUUCGCCAGAAUACAUUAGCAUGGAAUAAUACUAUAGGAUCUUGGUUCUAUUUUGUUGGUUUCUAGAAUUGAGAUAAUGAUUAAUAGGGACAAUUGGGGGCAUUCGUAUCAACACGUCAGAGGUGGAAUUCUUGGAUUGUGUUGCGACGAACUACUGCGAAAGCAUUUGCCAAGGAUGUUUUCAUUGA